GCACACUUAGCUCAGUGGUUAGAGCAUCCUUCUAGAGUUUGGGGUAAAACAAGUCAUGGGUUCAAAUACCAUAGCUAAUA
Molecule: non-coding RNA, 80 nt
Organism: Cronartium quercuum f. sp. fusiforme G11
Lineage: Eukaryota; Fungi; Basidiomycota; Pucciniomycetes; Pucciniales; Coleosporiaceae
Source: the annotation of a GenBank genome assembly